Molecule: long non-coding RNA, 4524 nt
Filed under: Hordeum vulgare
Lineage: Eukaryota; Viridiplantae; Streptophyta; Magnoliopsida; Poales; Poaceae
Description: long non-coding RNA (HVUL_LNC020055)
Source: RNAcentral
AGUAAUUCAUCAUGAUAAAAACACAGAUCAAAUAGGCAAGGCAAGAAACAGAACUAUCUUCCAGAAUCUUGAAAAGGUGCGGAGUGCUACAGUGGUUGUAGUAUGUAAAGAAAAGAUCAAACACGAAAAGGUAUCAUCAUCCCUGGAGAUGUCAUCGCAUAUCAAAAUUCAACACCAGUCUCAGCUGUCGGUCGAUGGUUACACUAACUGAUUAGACGAGUUCAUAGCAGCGAUGCCCUUAUGAAUCAUUUGCCUUCUUGGUUUUUCUCGGUCAAUGGUCGAUGGUCGAUGGUCCUGAUUCAUAAGGGCAUCUAAGAAAGAAAAAAUACACAUUUAGGGUAAAAAAUACACAUUUUAUAUGACAAGAAUCGAAUAAAUAGGCCAAUUUUACACACUGCAAUCACAGACCUAAUAUUACACAUCAAUUUUCAAUUAUUCCGAUCUACAAGGCUAGUUCCAAUUUGAUCAAAGCAGGAAGUAAAAGAAAAAUGCAUUGUUGAAACAAACAAAAAGUGAGAUGUUGUAUCGAGACCUCACCCAACCACACUUCUUGCAAAAACUGUAUAUAUUCAACAGCCUGCAAUAGAAAAUGGUGUCAAGAAAACCAGCUUAAUUAAAUGGGUUGCAGCAUAUAAUCAAUAACCUUCUAGGUUUGUGCCUUGUUUGUUUUAUGAUACCGAGAACCAAGUUAUUUAUGUGCAUCUCUAGUUAGAACCCAACCGAAAUAAAUACAAUAUCUGAGGUGAAAAAAACAUAAAAAUUAAUAGACAAAAAAAUUUAGCAGGAUUAAGCACCACAUCGCGAGUGUUGCAUGUUGGAAAGGGUAAACGUUAAGACUUCAAGGUCGGCCCAUCAUGAAUGAAAGCCUGCACAAAUCGACAAAUUAUGUAAUAGAAAAUCAAUAUUCAGAGGACUGUUAACUAACACCCCAGGGUAAAUUUUGAAGCAGGAACAAUAUCAUGACAGAUUGAUUAACAUGAUUGUAGCUUUUUUAGGCUCGACCUCCUAUAUGAAGUAUCGUAUAGUCCCUUGCACCAUAGCAAGGUACCCUAUAUGAAAUAACAACUGGGACACUAUAAAGAAUUACUACUCAAGCUGACAGACCAAAAACUAAUUGAAAUAUGUGAUUUCAUAAUCUGCUCCAUUUGCCAAAAAUCGAAAAGCAAACAAUGGACUAUAUCAAUAAAUCUUGUAAUGGUUUUGUUAGAUGAUAGCUAAGAACUACUUAAAUUAGCACAAUGAAUUUAGAUGGUCAAAUCUCCAGCUUGCUAGUUCUCUCUUUUGGUUGUUAAUAGAUCUCAAAGAUUGCCAGAGUUCACCAACAAUUGCAUGCCCAGAAAUCCUAACUCUGCUUAGCCAGGUGAUACAUGCAGCUCCUAGGCUGUAUCACCCUGAGUUGAAGAAUUAUAAACAGCAAAUACGUUACAUGUGAGUGUGUGUGCGUGUGUUGUUAGCUGAUUCAAUCCAUCUCAAGGCAAGCAUGGUUCGCUAUGUGUUCGUUUUGCCAUCGACCGAAAGCGCUGGCCAGGCGUAUAUUGGUUUCACGGCAUCAGACCUACGUUAUAUAUUUGUGUUAGAACAUAAAAAUGCUAAGAAUCAUUUAUUCUCCACUCGAUCUACACAAUCAUUGCUCGUCCGCUGUAAUCUACUAUAAUCUACACCAAACUGAUCUCACAACACAACUCGGAAGUCAAAACAUCGAAUGAAUCGUGGCUGUGUCAAAGGACAAGGCAAGCCAGAUCUGAUAAAGGGCAAGGACUGCAUAGCUUACCAUAAAUUCUGGAAUGCAAGAGCAACACUUGUCGUAAAAAAUUGGAACAUGAGGAAAACGAAGGAGAGGAUCGGGACCAACGCACCUGUAACGAAGGAGAUUUUUUUUACCCUGAAUAUGUAUUUUUUUCUCGGUCGAUGGUCGAUGUUAGCCUUCUUGGUUUUUCUCCAAAAUCUGCAUCUCCACCUUCAGAUAUUUAUUGCAUCAUUACUCUCUCUUAAUGAAGCCAAUAUAUAGCAGCGAGUCAGCGAUAGGUGAUGGUUUCUAUUGAACACGCCAAGGGGCAACGAACAAUCGAAACAAAUAAAAGAUGGGUAAAUUAUUCUCCCAUCUAAGCAGAUAUCGAGUAAAAAUCAGGAGAAUGAUAUAAUAUAAUCAACUUCCUUCAUAAAAUCAGUCAACACUUCGUACUCUCAAUCCAAUAUGAUUCAUCAUUUGCACAUGUUAAUAUAUCUGAAUCAUACAACAAAUAAUGCAUACAAAUUAUCAUAUCCGUGCAAUUAGGCAGAAGAGAGAAAAAUAAAACAUGUGCCUCUUUCGAUGUGCCUUCUCCAUAUAAUCAUCUCAAUCCAAGUCCAAGACCCUCUCUCUUGUGAUAUGAAUCCCAGAGUACACUUUGCUAACUCUAAUUAGCACACAAAGGCAUGUAUUAGUCUCUAACAUAACUCGUAUUUUUAACAAAAUGAGUAGGUGAAUCUAUACUAUUAACUCGUAUACUACAAAAGAGUAGCCAGUGGCACUCUUUCCGGUGAUCCUGUCCCGUCCGCCGUCGGACCUCCUCUCCUCUCCAUGCUUCUCUCCCUCUCAUCUUCUCUCUCCUGCAUAUUAAAUCGAGUGGCGGUGGUGUUGCUCUUUGCCUGCAAGUCGUCGCCACCACUGAAGAGAAAAGUGGGUGCUCCGCCACCGUCGAAGAGAAAAGUGGGCGCUCCUUCUGGCGACCAUCUCUCAUCUGCUGACACACCUCCUCUCCUCUUUGCAAUCUCUUUCUCCCUCAUCUCCUCUCCUCCACUUCCUUGUCUCUCUCCCUCUCGUAUUCUCUCUUCCGUAGAUCGAAUCGAGCGCUGUCGUCGUCUCACUUUGCUAGCCGCUGGAGAGGACAGUAAAAGGGAGGAGGAGGCAGUGUGGUGGAGAGCAGGGCAAAAGGGGAGGAGGCAGCGGCGCGGUGGAGAGCAGGGCAGAAGGGGGGAGACGGUGGCGUAGUGGAGAGGGAGGGGAGCGAGGCUGGAUUGGCUUCUCGAAGACGCACGGGAUUGGUGGCGCUAGGUUUUCACCUUGCAACACGAUUCACCCCCGCUAUUUAGGAGUCUAUGAAGGUUGGUGCGGAUAAUCCCGAUUACACAAUGGGUCAUGCCAGUAAAAGAUGGAUUGAUUGGACUCACAUAAGCUCGCACAUAGUCUACUAUGACUAAUCACUCUGUGAUGAGAUCGUUAACACAUAUUGUUGGUUAGUAGCUAGUAUUGUAGAAAUGGAAAUUUAGUUUGACCUUGUAUCAGGUGAUUUUCUCACUACCUCAUGUAGCAAAUCAAUCAUAUAGGUAUAUAACACAAUGGAAAAUAGAAAUAUCACCGAGCAAGACCGGAUAUCUAGGACCCAGAUCUAGUUUUGAUGUCAAAUAUGUUGUGGCCGCUACCAGUCUUGAAGCAAUGAUCUUUCUUGGAAUUCUUCUAGUUCUGCAUAUGAAGUAGUUUGAUUCAGAAUUCUAGCAGGAGUUAUAAAUUAGGUGCAGGCCAAUCAAAGGAUUACUGGUAUUUGAGAAAAAUAAUGUGAGAAGAAUUAAUGAGACAAUUUUGAUAGAGCAUUAACAUGAGGUAGAUAUACGUAUAUAAUGGAUUGGAAAACAGGCAUAAACUAUGAGACAGUCCAACAGUAGACAUGUUUCUGAAACCAUGAAACAGUAGCAAUCACCAAGGCAACAAUUAAGCACCAAUUUAUUGUUGAACCCAAUGUAAAUUCUGAUCAACCACAGACAUUUGAAUACCUUGCAUCACUUUAUUUGUUUGCAAAGUAGAAAUUUGAGCAGUUAAACAUUUCCAACUUUGUCUAUAUGAUAAAGUUUAUGUUUCUCCUGUAGUCGUCCACAUUUUCACACAUGAAGAUGCAUUCAGCAAUAUUUUAGAAGAGAUAAUACGUCUCGGUUAAACAACCCACUGCAUAAUCUUUUAUGGAUUCGAUGACUGUAAGGUCUGGUCUCCCAAUUUGCAUAGGAAUUCUGAAUGUAUAGUGUUUACCAUGGCUUUAAUUAACAUGUUGCCAUGUCUCCCAAUGCAUAAACUUUGUCAUACAACAGUACGUCUCAGUUGAGCAACCCACUGAAAUAGUGUUUACCAUGGAUGUAAUUAAUUAGGUUGCUUCAAUAAACAUAACCCCCACUGCAUACGCCUCAGUUAACUAACAAUACACUACAGAACAAAGAAUACUCAUGUAUUCCCCACCUAAUCUAAAAACCAUUUGAUCUUCACUAAAACUAAUUUCUGAACACAAUUAAUGCCAUAACAAAGCGCAUGACGGCGAACGAAUCAUGUUGUGCUCACCAUGGCAAAGAAGAUUUCACGAUAAGGCAAGCAAUAACUGAGUUAGAAAGAACGUAACCAAUCGCGUACUGAAAAUUCUUUUGAGUGCAAGAGCACACCUGUUAAACCCACGGCUAAGGAAGACAAUGGCAAUGGAGGAGAAGAUUGAGAUCGACGCACCUGUAAUGGCGUCCUCUACGGAGCCGAACUUCCGGUCGUUGGAUCUCCACACGAUNNNNNNN